Syngnathus typhle (broad-nosed pipefish) is the source of this 735-nucleotide long non-coding RNA. RefSeq lists it as uncharacterized. Lineage: Eukaryota; Metazoa; Chordata; Actinopteri; Syngnathiformes; Syngnathidae. The record is from RefSeq and is a predicted model, not a curated record. The transcript has 2 exons.
GUCAUUCAGUCCUCACAACAAAACAGACGCAUACAAGUGCCUGAUUUGCUCCAGGAACUUGCAGUAUGAGUCACAAGCUGUUUUUUGAAUGAGUCAACUGUCAGAGAGUCCCACCCCCUGCUACCCUCCCUCGCACACGGGGGCACAUGCUGCCCACGCUUUUAACGUGGGCUUAACCUCACGAUGGCAUCACUUCCUCCCUCUUGAGUCAGUUAUGACACAUCAAACAGCCCAGAGCAAUGGAUCUUCAUUGACUGCGACAUGCUGUGACGAGUGGCAGCGUGUGGUGAUUUUCAGCUGAAUUAAUCGUCCAAUAAUAGUUCUUGCUCUUGGUGACUCAACAGGAAAUGAUGGAGCGGGACUAGGGCAGACGAAAAAACUGGAGUAGAGGGUGGAAGAACGAAAGGAGAAAAUACAGGGAAAAGGAACUGCUUACUUUGUCAUGGCCUAGGAUUGUGAACUAUGCAGCGGCGCUGAGCAAGAAACGCACACACACACACAAACACACAAAUUCUUCCGUUGCUAAUAAAAUGCUGUGCAGUCAGAGAUUACCUCAUGAUUCUGUGGAAUAGAGCGGUGGUCCAGGGGUCAUAUGCCAUAUCAUGAUGGUCUGCAAAAUAAUUUGUUAUAAAUUAUGUUGUGUGUCCCUACAUAUGGUACGUUUGACAAGUGCAUCAAUAAAGCAAACAUUAAACCAAUUACGCCUACCUACCUUUAGGUGUCUAAUAGCCCUGA